This 45-nucleotide non-coding RNA is filed under the name Schistosoma margrebowiei. The record is from RNAcentral. Lineage: Eukaryota; Metazoa; Platyhelminthes; Trematoda; Strigeidida; Schistosomatidae.
AUCCAGUUGACCAGUUUCAAAUAAAACGAAACGCACGUACUGGAU